GUGCACACACCAGGGACGAAGCUGCAGCAGACAGAGAGCAAGAGGAAAGACAUGCAGCAGCAGGGCAGAGAGCAGAAACAGACUGACACGGCGCAGAUGCAGGAUGUGGCUGGGCUAUGACAAACUCCUUGCUGUGUGGACUCUGGGUAGUUCUUUGUUUUGGUGUAUAUUCAGGACUUUCCUGUGAGUGGGGAGCAUAGCAGCAAUAUCACCUAUACUAAGGAAGAAGGCACAUGUCCCACAUGCUUGUUUCCUGGGACAGAACCCAAAUAUUUGAUCCUUGGACUUAUGAAUUUCAUCAAGAGAAGUUAAGGUAUGAGUUACAGGAAUGUGGAGGAUGAACCGAGUUCCUGGGUUUUUGACAAAAUAUGUGACUGAGACAUAAUACACAUUAGAAGAAAGUAACACAGAGUUUGGAAGGAUAGAAGACCACAGUUCAGCUAACUGGAAAUAUGGUAUCAACGUGUCUGUUUUAGAAGAGGACCAGUCCACUUGAAUGAAGUCACUGUGACUCAAACAUUAUGCUGUAAUGCUAUCCUGAAAGAGCUUCAAUAAAUCUAACCGCUUAUGAAUGCCUAGAUAACACAAAUUUGGCAAGAUCUAAAAACCAGCUAAGAUUGAUAGUGACAGUCAAAGGAGAAAGUUGUUGAAACAUUGGAAACUCUCAUGGGAUGAUGUCUGUAAAUGGUUUGAAAUAAAAUAAAUUUGAUAUCCUUGGCCA
Molecule: long non-coding RNA, 721 nt
Organism: Macaca mulatta (Rhesus monkey)
Lineage: Eukaryota; Metazoa; Chordata; Mammalia; Primates; Cercopithecidae
Source: RefSeq, a predicted model, not a curated record